CCUACGGGGCGCAGCAGUGAGGAAUAUUGGUCACUGGACGAGAGUCUGAACCAGCCAAGUAGCGUGAAGGAUGACUGCCCUAUGGGUUGUAAACUUCUUUUAUAUGGGAAUAAAAUGUUCCACGUGUGGGAUUUUGUAUGUACCAUAUGAAUAAGGAUCGGCUAACUCCGUGCCAGCAGCCGCGGUAAUACGGAGGAUCCGAGCGUUAUCCGGCUUUAUUGGGUUUAAAGGGAGCGUAGGUGGAUUGUUAAGUCAGUUGUGAAAGUUUGCGGCUCAACCGUAAAAUUGCAGUUGAAACUGGCAGUCUUGAGUACAGUAGAGGUGGGCGGAAUUCGUGGUGUAGCGGUGAAAUGCUUAGAUAUCACGAAGAACUCCGAUUGCGAAGGCAGUUCACUGGACUGCAACUGACACUGAGGCUCGAAAGUGUGGGUAUCAAACAGGAUUAGAUACCCUUGUAGUC
This 460-nucleotide ribosomal RNA is filed under the name uncultured bacterium. RNAcentral's name for it is "partial 16S ribosomal RNA". It matches the Rfam family "Bacterial small subunit ribosomal RNA", at positions 338 to 795 of the family's 1533-position model. The record is from RNAcentral.